GCCAGGCGUGGUGGUGCGCACCUGUAAUCCCAGCUACUUGGGAGGCUGAGGCAGGAGAAUCACUUGAACCCAGGAGGUGGAGGUUGCAGUGAGCAGAGAUCGUGCCACUGCACUCCAGCCUGGGCAACAGAGUGAUACUCUGUCUCAA
RNAcentral lists this non-coding RNA (148 nucleotides) under Nomascus leucogenys (northern white-cheeked gibbon). Lineage: Eukaryota; Metazoa; Chordata; Mammalia; Primates; Hylobatidae. The record is from Rfam by way of RNAcentral.